UGGAGAGUUUGAUCCUGGCUCAGGACGAACGCUGGCGGCGUGCUUAACACAUGCAAGUCGAACGGUAAGGCCCUUCGGGGUACACGAGUGGCGAACGGGUGAGUAACACGUGGGUGAUCUACCCUGCACAUCGGGAUAAGCCUGGGAAACUGGGUCUAAUACCGGAUAGGACCACAAGAUGCAUGUCUUGUGGUGGAAAGCUUUUGCGGUGUGGGAUGGGCCCGCGGCCUAUCAGCUAGUUGGUGGGGUGAUAGCCCACCAAGGCGACGACGGGUAGCCGGCCUGAGAGGGUGUCCGGCCACACUGGGACUGAGAUACGGCCCAGACUCCUACGGGAGGCAGCAGUGGGGAAUAUUGCACAAUGGGCGAAAGCCUGAUGCAGCGACGCCGCGUGGGGGAUGACGGCCUUCGGGUUGUAAACCUCUUUCACCAUCGACGAAGGUUCGGGUUUUCUCGGAUUGACGGUAGGUGGAGAAGAAGCACCGGCCAACUACGUGCCAGCAGCCGCGGUA
RNAcentral lists this ribosomal RNA (512 nucleotides) under Mycobacterium gordonae. RNAcentral's name for it is "bacterial SSU rRNA". It matches the Rfam family "Bacterial small subunit ribosomal RNA", at positions 1 to 522 of the family's 1533-position model. The record is from RNAcentral. Lineage: Bacteria; Bacillati; Actinomycetota; Actinomycetes; Mycobacteriales; Mycobacteriaceae.